GGAUCCUUGAGCUGUUGCAGAGGCAGCCAACUGCUCCAUAUUUGGCUUCUAUUACACAUUUACAUACUGGAGAGCGGAGCGGCAGCGAGCGCUGUACCGCAGACAUCAUUUCUACUACAGCGCCGGAGCAGCCCGGAGCGUGUCCCCGCGGGGGAAGGAGCCCGCACGCACACACACACACACUCACACACCCGAAGACCCCCGCCCCGGGAGGACGGCGGUGCGCGAGUCUCAGUCCGACCCCCCCGCCAGCCCCACCUCCACUGACACUUUACAGUAAGUGCCUUUUUCUUCCUCCUCUGCUUUCUGCCCCCCCCACCCCCCCGCUCCUCCUCCUCCCCCGGCUUCUCCCCUUGUUUGGGCUGCGGAGCCGCCCGCGGUUCCCGGCUGGAAAAACACGGGGCCGGAGGCGGCUCUGUGCGUGCGUGUGUGUGUGUGUGUGUGUGUGUGUGUGUGUGUGUGCGGGGGGGGCAGCGCUGCGGCCCGGCCUCGGGGCCCAGCCCGGGCGGGGGCCGCGACAUGGCCGAGGGCAGCGGCCUGGGCCCGGGCCCGGGGCUCGCACGGCCCUCCCGCUCCUCCUCCUCCUCCCUUCUUCCUCACCCCGCCGGCAGGGUGCUGGUGGCCGCGGUGGACAUUUUGCGAGCGGCGGCGGGGUGUGUGUUUGUAGCCGUGUGUGUGUGGUGUGUGUGUGGCGGUGCGGUGCGUGACGGGGUAGUGACACGGCCCCUCCGUGUGUGUGUGUGUGUGUGUGUGUGUGAAGUGGGGGGGGGGGGUAGGGAGCGGGGGGGCCGCGGCCGGGCCGCACGGCGCAUGUAGUAGGGGCUGGGCGGCCGCUGAGGGUGAAUGAAGCGAGCGGGCGGCGGAGGAGGCGGCGCUGGGACGGGGAUGUGCCCGGCGGCCGCCCCGCGCCGCUGCUCCCGGGGCCCAGGCCGCCUGCGGACAACGCCCGGUACCGCCGCCGGGGGAGCGCGGGCGGGAGGGCCGCGGGGCACCGCCGCUCGGCCCCGGCGCUGACCGGAGCUCGGGGUCGGCUCGGUGUUGUUCGAUGCCCCCCCACCCCGGUAGGGCCGCGGGCGCCGCGAUCCGCGAGCGCGAUUCCCGGGGGUACCGAAGUCUGAAUUAAACGCGCUGGGAAACGUCAGCGCCCGCUGUAAUAGCGAUAGCGAUAAUAACGCGACGGAGCGGGGAGCGCGUUCCGCGCGGCGGCAGAGGAGGAAUUGCCGAGGAGCACUAACGGAGGAGCAAACAAGUCGGAAGCCGUUAUAUAACGCGCCGUGCGGCGCGGGGAGCGGCGGCUAUUUGGGCGCUGUUGACCGCACGCUGCGCGGCGGGCGCUCCGCGGGCAGCGCCGGGCCGAGCCGAGCCGGGCGGGGGGACGCCCCGCGCCGUGCCGUGCCGGGAGCCCCUCCGUGCGCGGGGCAGAGCGCUGCGGGGCUGCGCGUCCGUGCGGCGGCGCGCUGAGGGCUUUUAAUUUCGGUUUCGAGCCCUUCCGCCGCGGGAUCGCCGCGCCGCGCCUCCGGCCCUUCCCCCGCCUUGGAAGGUGCCGUGGGCCGGCGGCGCGGCCCCGGGUGCGGGGCCCUUCCCGCAGCCCCUCGUCGCCGGAGCCCGCCCGGCCCCGCUCCGCCGCGCGAUGAGAGCGCGCUGCCAUGGCAACAGACGGCCCCGGCCGCUCAGGUGUGCGCGCGCCGUGCGCCCGGCCGCCCCCGUGCCGUGUGCGGCGCCGUGUGCGGGGCGCGGGAGGAGGGGGCGGCGGCGGCCCCGCGCCGAGGCUCCGUCAGGGUGCCGCGGGCUCACGAAAACUUUGCCGCUGCUCCCCUCUCCCUGCCCGGCCGCUGUAGGCCUCGGGGCCGUCCGGCGCCGCGCUGUGACAUCGCCGGUGGGAAUGCCCGGUGUGUUGAGGGGCGGCUGGCUCCCUUCUCCCUUGGUUCAAAAACCCGAGGGGCGUGUAAUAUAAACGUUCUCUUCUCGGCAAACGACUCGUCGCUGAUACUCGGAUUGAUCUGAUUUUGCGUUUGUGCUCGUUAAAAUGCAGCGGAGCGACGGAACGGCAGGGCGGGAAACUUUCCGCCCCAGACGGCGUAGCGCCGUGCAGGAGCAGGCAGUGCAGCUCCGCGCUGCCCUCCGGGAGCGCUCGAGCGAGGAGCGCAUGCCGGCCUUCCGCCCGGUGGCCGCACACGGGCGCAGGCGUCGCUUUGUACGGGCACCGAAUCUGGCGCUCAGUCCUAACGCCGUGGGCCUGGAGCGGCUCCAGGGGCUGCCCGCGAGCCGCGCACACGGUGCGUAUCUGGGGUAGCUCCGCUUGUUGGACUCCGGCCAGGCGCAGAGCGGAGUAGCGGAGCUCAGGCGCUGAUCCCGCUGCCCGCGGCCGUCGUUUUCCCGGUAUCUUUCUACGGCAGAAAGCACCGUGGGAUUUUUGCCCCCUGCAGGAGCCGGGUUAGCCACGUGCGGGAGCGGUGAACUACUCCCGUUGCUAACCGCACGUGCAUCCGCGCUGCUACAAGGCGCAGCCCGGAGCGUUUCACGUCUCGGUGGUGAGAAGUUGCCGGCACCGUGCAGCACCGGAGCUCCCAGGCAGCCCGUAGGCCACGCUGACCGGCUCUCUGUGCCCGGGCUGCCUGCCUUCGGGGGGAACGUCCUCCCUCUGCGUGCCGAGGGGGCUGGAAGGAGGGCAGCCCGUGAAGAGGAGCGGUAGCAGAAGGUGAGCGCUCGCAGCACGGCUGCUCUCGAGCUGCCGCUGCGUGCCCGGUGCUGCUGGUGACGUGCUCCACGGAGAGGCAGUUCACCCGUGUGACUGAGAGCACUGGAAAACAGUUACUUAGUAAAGGCUGCCUCUGCAUAGUUAAGAGACUUCCUGCAAGUACACGGCGCAGCUCUUCUCCCUGGCCUGGUCUGAUUCACUUAGGAGAGGCCGAAGGAACCGGUCUUGUUUUAAGAGACAUUUACACAAGGCCUGGAAUUUCACUUAACAAAAAUUUUUAUGUAAUAGAUCCAGUGGCCUAGUUUCACCUUCAUUAAGAAAAUAGGCGCUAAAUGUGCUCACCUGGAAAGCAACUGCCGAUUUCAACAUUAGGAUGUGAAAGCAGUGGUCUCGGUGCCGUGGCUGGCAGAGCAAAACGAAGGCCCGGUUCCCCCCCGUGCUGAAGUUCAGCAGCACGUCUGGGGACGCAGCAGCGAGGGCUGUCAUUGCUCGUGCAGCGCUGGCUUUUGUUGUGGUGUGCUAAUUGAGGGGAAACGCGAUGAAGAACUGCGGCAGGGCUUAAAGGAAACGCGUGUCAGAAUUGCGGAGGGGCUGCAGCGCUGGCUGGGUGAAGGGCUGUGUGGCAGCUGUAGGGCUGCCUGGGGGCGCACCGGGUUGGGGCGGCCGCUGCACAGGUACGGUCUGGGCGCCCUGCGCAGCUCGGGUGGCAGAUGGAGCUGUAGGUCUCCUUGGAGGUACCCGUACCGACUCUGCUCUAACAAAUACCGACACAAUUAGCUGAAGAGGCAGCAGUCUGACUGGCUUGGCACAGGUAAACGCUGCAGCUUGCUGAAACGACGUGCUGUAUUCCAGUGAGUACUCCAUAGGAAGUUGUAUGCUUUGCUCAGCCUGAGCUUGCGAGCUGAAAAUCCUGAUCUCAUUCGGUUUUACUCAGGCAGAGGCACAGCGAUUUGGGAUCUGAUGUCAUACGCGCAUCUCGUUCGGCGGUUUGCAUUUUUCUAUGAGCUGAAGUUUUUCACACGGUUCUGGCUUAGCUGAUAGAUGAUGGAUGCUUUUACAUGUAAGAAACUUCGCAGUCUCCCGACCUCUGUAGAAAGGCAGAAACUGGAUCUGUGAGUGCAAUUCCUUUUUGAUCCCCCUGCGAACACUGAGAGGGUAAUGCUGGAUGCUUUCUGUUUUUCCCCUAAAAGCUGUAGUCUGAGAUGGCUCUGAAACACAUGCAAAUCUGUGUGCGUGUAUUGGUCCCAGCCUGCAAAGUUGCUUCAGCACACGUCCCAGCGAGGGUUUUGCUGAAUGAGGAUUGAUUAAAGAACCUAUCUGGAGUUAAGUAUGUGUGUAAAUCCUUCCGUAAAUAGGGACGAGUCAGCGUGCUCAUAAACUGAAACAACAAAAGUGCUUCUCAGUGAGGGAGAAACGGUCCCACUAAGUCCUUUUAUUGUCCCAAGAGUGAUAAAAAUAUUUGGUGAGAUUCCAAGUGGGGAAAAAAAAAAAAAAGAAAAAACGUAUUUAGUUGGAUAUGUGAUGUCAGCAGAAUGUCAGUGCCGUUGCGCUCAGUACUUCUGCUGAAGAAGAAUUCAGAAAUAGAAAAAAGAAGAAUGAUGCUGGUAGCAUUGGCCGUUGUUUGCAUUGUUUGAGCGUUUGCAGCACUGUGCACUGGCUCUGAUGUGCUGCGGUUAAGGACGAGGUAACACCACGUUCCCCUGGCUGACUGCAUUCACCCACUGGCAGCGGUUGCAGCAGUAUUCUGUGAGUGGUGCCCCUCCUCAGAUGACACACGUUCUGCUGGCCCUGAAGUCAGCUCGACUCGCGUGUGGUUCUUCACCUCGUUAAGGUCACAUUUAGGGAAGGAGCGCUCUGUUGGAAUAAGUGGGCUACGUUCUCUGCUGUAUGCGUGCGGUCUGCAAGACUGAAUCUAUAGUUUAUUUGUGCUUGAGUAAUAGCGAAGCAGUCGCUCAGGCUUCAUUAGGGUGUCUUAAGGGUGCUGUCAUUUGAGUCUUACCUGUGUUUUUGCUUUGUUUUAUUUCGGUUCCCACCUCCUCAACUUUGGGAUCGACAGUCACGCCGCAGGCCGAGCCAGACGGGCGAGCAAUACAAGCUGUGAAUUUAUUGUUGACACCUGCAGGACAGUGACCACCUUCGCCGUCGUCUUCGCCAUACAGAGAUGCGCUGUCAGUGAGAUCCUGGAGCCCAGGAAAGAGUUUUAAUGCAAAGCAUCAGAAAAAAAAAACCGCUGCAGCAUCUCAUGUGAGAGAGGGGAGAGAAGAAAGGAGACUCGCGCAGUAACAUCUCAAAACACUCAAAUGGUUUGAGACCUUCACCCACUCGUCUUCAGCUGAUCUCUCCCCCUCUGAAUGUGUCGUCUCACGUUAUGCUCCCAAGCCAGCUGCAGGGGAAUGAGGGACCCAACAUCUGUCCGCUUGCUCAUCUCCCACUGACACACUGUAGCUUGCAGUCUGCAUCUGCCAGAUCUGUUUCAAGGCAAAGGGAACUAAAAUAGCUUAAAAGGCUUAUCACUGUUGAAGGUGAACAUGUGACUGCGCCUCAGACUGAACCGGCACCAAAAGCUUGCAGAAAUAACAUGUGGUCUGCUGCCAUCUGCUUACACCUUUUUCUUCCACCCUCCGCUGCUCUUGUCACUUCAGGCUGCUGCAAGCUCUUCAAACCAAAAGCUGUUGUCUUCUGUGUCUUUGCAAAGGGUAUGCUGCUGUGGCACCUUCUCCACCCCAUCUCACACAGCUUUCCGUUCCCACUGUAACGCUAGUAAUAGUAAUGGAGUUGAUAGUUUUAUAAUGUGGUCUUAAUGGGGAUGUGGGUUGGACCAAACGGUUUCAUUUUGUGCUAUCUGCCCAGUUGUGACUCAUCCCUAACGUGAAUUUGUUGACAACACUCAGAUCUCAGGUAUCAAUCGAUGAUGUAAGUGCCCUAUAGUAGAACAGAUGAUGUAAUUCUUACCGAGUUACUAAAGACAGUGACCUUGAGGUGGAUCAGAUGGCUGAGCAUCAGAGAUGGGUCACUGAUUACAGAAUGUCCUUGUUUUAAAACUAUAUUGUCAUCUGUUAAUUAUUGGAGAGGAAUAACGCCAGCGUGUCACAGAAGUUACAGCAUUUAUUGGCUUUUACCAGUAUUUAUGUGCUCUUGUUUUGACAGGUGACUUUUUGAUGGUUUUGCUGCCUUGUUGCUUUGGCUGUCAUUACAAUUUAAGUUUGGGUAGCGUAAUAAUUGACUUUAGUGAGCCCAAGCAAAAUGUUUUCUCUAGUAACAAGUUGCACAUUAAAAAAAAGAGGAAGCAAAAUAGAAGUGGAUGUGAUGUGAAAAAUUCUGAUACACGGAGCAAAAAUGUAUGCCAAUGGGAAAAUCUGCCCCUUCCCCAGCCCAGACUACAGGUGGCCUGCAUAUACAUUAGAAUAAGAGGUAGAAUUGCUUUUGAUUUAAAGAAUUAAUAAAAUAAAAAUAUAUGAUAAGCAUCAGCUGUAUCUUUUGCUUUUAGAUAAACAGCAGGCAGAACUUGAGAAAGGUCAUGGAGAAGAAAUGAAAGGAAACCAUUUGCUGUGAUUGCUAAUAAUAUGGUUAAGAAAAAAGCCUAUUUUUUUCUCAGUGGAAAGAGGGUCUGAGACGCCCCAGUGCAAACAUAGGAAACAGUCAGUUGCAAUAAACACAGAUCCCCAAAAGAAGGAAUAGAGACUUGAAAAGGCAAAUGGUUGAAGAGCUGGUUUUGGUUUCUGUCUCCUUCUUAACAACUAAUGCAUUUUGGGCCUUGCAUUUGCUGUUUAGUGUCAGGAUUUUUUGUUUCUCCCUCCUUAGUAUACUGGCACACUUGUAAGAUAAGUAUUAAACUUAGGAACCUGCCAGCCUUCCCUUCAAGCAGAUCCUUACAGCAAAUGGUGGAAGAAGUUAAUCAUUUGCAUGAAUGUGUGACCUUAUAAAGAAGACUAUGAAAGAUUGAUCUGAUUAAUUAACUACUGCAAUGAACUGAUCUAGGAAAUCACAGAGACACAGACAGCUCAGGAGAAUUCUGUAUUUUCCACUUUGUGUGUGUGUGUGUGUGUGUGUGUGUGUGUGGCAGAAGGUUCUCGGGUAGUUUGCUGUUUGAAACUAGUGAGUGAUAUGGGCUGGAAUUUCUCUUCUUGAGUUCCAUAAAUACACGCUUUUAAUUGUUGAAAUACAUUUCCCUAUUUUGUGGAUUUUUCAGAUCUUCUGUUCUAGGACGGUGUUUGCCUGUGGAUAUUACUGCUUGAUGCCUGAGGCACUCCUAAUGUGCAUGAUUAUAUAGUCUGUUGGAAGCAGUUAAGAUGUAAAAGUUUGUCCAGUUCUUCAUGUACAAAGGGCAUUGCGCAUUGAAGUUCUUCGAUCUGUGUCUUAGUGAGAAUUGACUUCUUUGGCAGUCAGGGAAUCCUGUUGCUUUCUUCACUAAGCUGUGGGCUCAGCAUCCAAGUGCUCCACUCUCCUCUAUGUUUUUAUUCCCAUGUAUGAAUUAGGCAACUACUGUUAUCCCUGUUGCACAGUGAGAUGCAGAAAGGCUGAAGGACAGCUUCAGCACUACAUAACAGCUUGGUGGUGCUGUGCUUUGACUUCAAUUUCCAAAAUCCUGGGCAGCUAUUCUGUCUUAAAG
RNAcentral lists this long non-coding RNA (7307 nucleotides) under Gallus gallus (chicken). Lineage: Eukaryota; Metazoa; Chordata; Aves; Galliformes; Phasianidae. The record is from RNAcentral.